UAUGGCGGCAAAUUUUUAUUUUUUAAAUUUUGGAUAAUUUAUUACUGUUACUGGGAUAUCAAGUUAAUAAUUUGUACCAUAAAACACCAAGCAAAGAGAGGAGAAGCUGCAUGACAUGCAGUCACAGCUUGGCAAAGAUUCGCAUCUCACGGAACAGAUUCAAAUUCUGAGGCAAGAUGUGCUGAAGAAAAACCUGGAGAUCGUCAAACUCCAGGACGAAUUAAAUGGAAAGGAAUCUCGAUCAAUUACCGAGUCCCUGGCUGAUUCUUCCAGGCGUCGUUCGUCGCCAACUCCUGAGAGGCAGCGAGUGCAGUUCUCUUUGAUGGAUUUAAAUAUGGACGAGAGUUUAGGAACCGGUGAAGCUGAACAACAGAAAGUGAUUGAAGAUUUAAAGUCAAAACUUAACGCUGUGACGGAAGUUUGUAAGCAACAGGAACGACAUUUCUCCAAUUUGGUCAAAGAUUUAGAACACAAACUGAAUGAAACCAUCAGUGGACGGGAUGAACUGCUUACUUUAAGACAACAAGAAUCUUUAAGUCAACAACAGUUGAUCUACCAGUUACAGGCUGCUCUGCAACAAAACAGCAAGACGCUGGAAAUGCGAAACGAGGAAAUUUCUGUUUGCGACAAACGGGUAAAGGUCGACAAAGAAAAACUGACACAAGCACAAAGUGCAUUGUUGAAGGUUUUUAAUGUUUUAAAAAAUGAAGAAAGUAAGAGAGGAAGUACUAACAUGCUAACUGGAGUUACCACUGAUAACCAUUCCUUGUAUACUGAAGAAUUUCUGACUCAAGUGUUGUCAAGUAUUCUCACAGACGAUGAUAGAAAUAUCUCUGAUCUGAUCGUCAAGAAUCAAGAGAUCGAGCAACAACUUCAAAAUCUGAAAGAAGCACACGAGCUGGACAAAACGAACUUAAUCCGUGAAUAUGAAACCAAACUCGUCGACUCGGAAACAGAUCAUGCGAAGUCUCUAGAUAUUGCAGCAAAUAGAACCUUGACGGAACGAAGUCGAAUUACUGAACUAGUUCGUGAUAUCAACGAGAAUAGGUUAAAAUAUGAGAAAACGAUUGAUGAUCACGAAAAAGUGAUAGCUACACUGGAAGAAAACAUCGAAGCAUAUCGCGUGGAACUUCAUGAUAAGAAUAAAAAACAUGAAAUCCAACGCAAUAAAGAUGUUGUCCUUCGCAAGAAAUUGGAAAACCAGUUAGAAAACCUUAGAGCUGAGAAAGAACAACUGUCGAACAAUAUGCUUGAAAUUAAGACAGCGUCCGAAGACGAAGUAAAGGAAUUAGCACUAAAAUUAAGAAAUGUCGACGAAAAGCACAAAGAUAAUGAAAAAGAACUUCUGGGUAAAAUUGUACAGCUGAAAGAAACUGUUGAAGAGAGAGAAGAAGAUAUAACGCGUAUAAAGAAAGAACAUGAAGCUGAACUAAAGCUUAAAACUGACAAAAUUUCAUCACUUGAGAAAGAUAAAGGUAGCGAACUAUUUGAAAGAAUGGAGAACAACCAUAAUGAAUGUCGUAAACAACUGUUGACACUAAAAGAAGAACUGAAACAUAAGACUGACGAAGUUUUAAAAUUAAUGGAGGAAUGUAGAAGAUUGAGAGAAAGAAUCGAUAAAAGUCAGGAUGAAAAAUCUGCCAUAUUGGCUGAAAAAGAAGAGUUGAACACCAAUUUUAAAAAUUUAAGUGAGAAAAUGUUGCGUAUACAGGAUGAAAAAUCUCGUUUAUCCAAUAUGGUGAGAGAAAACGUAGAUGAUUUAACUCGCGCGAAAGACGUUAUAAACAGUCUCCAGGUUGAACUGGAUGCAAGAGAAAAGAGUCUAGAAGUGUUCAACAAACAGGAAUCGAAAUUGGCAGAACUUUUGUUUCAGAAACAUCUUGUCGGGGAAUCUCUGCUUGUUGAAAGACAACAAAUUGUUGGGUUUCUAGAAGAGAAAGUUCAGGAAAAUGAGAAGCUGAAAGGAACUCGAGAUGCUCUCGCCCAAAACCUCGAAUCAAAGAUACAAGUUUUAGCCGAAAUGGAAGCGACUUUUCGAUCGAUGGAAACAAAACUUGAAGUGCGAAGUAAUGAAUUGGAAGUGAUCAUGGAAGAUCGAAACAAAGCUGUGAGAGAAGUCGAAAAUAAAGUUGUAGAAUUGACUAAAUUGAGAGAAGAAAGAGAUUCAUUAGUGACCCUAAUGAAUGGCAAGCAAAGUGAGAAAGAUAAAGAAAUUACCAAACUUUUAUCACGUCUUAAAGGCUCACAGCACGACCUCGCAAUGACAAGGAAAGUUCUUGAGGCAAAGAGGGAAGCCAAUGAAAAAGCAACAAAACUGGCAUCGGCGACGCAAGAGGAGAUAACAGCGAAGCGAAAAGAAGUAGACAGUCUCAAAGACAGAAUCAAGUGGCUUCAGGACAGCUUACAGGCUACUGCUGAAGAAAAAGUACACUUCGAAAGAAAGGCGUCGGAACUUACAACCGAACUAAGAGAUAAGAACCAAGAGAACGAGAAUAUUAGAGAGGAAUUUGAUAAAAUAAUGAAGUAUUACGAUAAUGCAAGUGGGCAGGUUACUCAAAUGGAAAUGGCACUGGAAAAGGCUGGCAUAAAGUUUGCAGAGUCGCAAGCACUUGUUGAAAAACUGGAACAAGAUUUGGCGAAAAUUAAACUGCAGUAUUCAUUGGAAGUAAAGGAGUUGGAAUUGAAAGUGAAGUCUGCUGAAGGAAGAGAGCAGAAUGUCCAAGUGGUGAAACCAUUUCGAUUCCAACAUGGCGGCGAUGCAGGAUUGCAAGGUUAUCCGGCGAAUGGGAUGGCAAUUGCGAAAAAUGAACUCGACGCAACGAAACAAAGAUUAACGGAAGAGACCGAGAUGACUGAAGGUUUUAAAACGCUUCUAAAGGACUUACACGAACUGAUGAAAAACAUGAAAGAUUCAAGUAUCAUGCUGAAGAGAGGAAGUGAUGCUGGUAAAAAAACCCCCAGAAAGGUUAAAAGUGAAGUUCCGAAAAAAGCUGAAGGAAAGGAAACAGUUGCCACGACGAGACAGUCAAAGAAUGAGCCGGCAAGAAUACAAGAUGAUGGAAACAAUAAGGAUUCCUAUACAUCAACUACAGUUGCGGCAAGUGACACUUUGCCAGGACCAUCAGGGAGCAAUGGUAUUGGUCGAGGAAAAGAACUGAAGAGGAGAAAGAGCAGAACAAAGUCGGUUAACCCUCCUCUUCAUAGUUCAUCGCCAAAAUCCUCAAGUCCUGUGUUAUUUGAUAAAGAUACUAGCAACAACUCUACGUCAGACUUGAAUUAUUCCUAUUCUGAUAUCAGUGAUGUUGAGUCUGAUUGCAGUGGAGACAAGCAGCAAAGAACAGGCAAACGCACACUGGAAAUCUUAUCUUCGCCUAGACCAAGAGAUGCCAGGACAUUUCACAAGUCCAAACAGCUCAAAGGGAAAAUCCACUCGCACAUUGAACCUGAAGAUGUCGAUUCGCUGUUGAUGCCACAAGAGUUACCGCCAAGAAGCCAUAGACGUGCGAAGAAAAUCUUGGACCUCUUGAGCUUAAAAGGCCAAGCGCUAACCAACGGUAAUAAAAUAAUUAACCGACGACAAAAGGAACAUCAAAGCAGCACAAAGCUCGCCGUAAUAAGAGACUUACACAACCGUUGUAUCGUAUCGUUAGAGCUCUAUACACGUUCGUAAGCGGCCCAUGGACGAUACAGUCUAAGGUGAACGCACUACAAGGACAAAAGGCGCUGUCACGAACCUAAUGGUCCUAUGAGAUUUAUAAUUGCCAUUCUGCUUGGAACACUCAUGUUUCAAGGUUCGUCGUUACCGUU
This 3807-nucleotide unclassified non-coding RNA is filed under the name Dendronephthya gigantea. RNAcentral's name for it is "coiled-coil domain-containing protein 158-like, transcript variant X5". The record is from RNAcentral. Lineage: Eukaryota; Metazoa; Cnidaria; Anthozoa; Malacalcyonacea; Nephtheidae.